GACGAACGCUGGCGGCGUGCUUAAUACAUGCAAGUCGAACGGAAAGGCCCUGCUCUUGUUGGUUGCUCGUUUGGCGAACGCGUGAGAAACACGCGAGUAACCUGCCCCUGUAUGUGGGGUAAAUUUUGGAAAAUGGGGCUAAUAUCCGGUAUGAUCUCCUGCUGCGUGGUGGGGGUUGGAAAGUUACGGCGGUUGUGGAUGGUCUCGCGGCUUAUCCGCUUGAUGGUGGGGUAGUGGCUGACGAAGGCUUUGAAGGGUAGCCGGCCUGAGAGGGUGAACGGGCACAUGGGGACUGAGAGACGGCGCAGAAUCCUACGGGAGGCAGCAGGGGGGAGUAUUGCGGAAUGGGGGGAAGCGUGAUGCAGCAACGUCGCGUGCGUGAUGACGGCUUACGGGGUGUAAACAGCUUUCGAAGGUAACGAAGAGUGAGUGACGGUAAUGGGUAAAGAAGCACCGGCUAACUACGUG
This 468-nucleotide ribosomal RNA is filed under the name uncultured bacterium. RNAcentral describes it as "partial 16S ribosomal RNA". It matches the Rfam family "Bacterial small subunit ribosomal RNA", at positions 28 to 507 of the family's 1533-position model. The record is from RNAcentral.